GUUUUCUGCCAUGCUUUGGAGGAAGAAGCCAGUAGCCAUGUGAGGUCUCGGGAGGAGCUGGGGCCUGUGGUCACUGCUACAGAUUCAAGACAAGCCCGGAGGGGGCUGGUGACGCAGCCGCUUUCUCGGAAUAAAGGCAGAGAUAGCCUAAAACUACACACAACAGCGGGAUGAGCUGGAUGGCCCACUAGUCACCUUUUCAGAGACCAUCCUAACUGCCUUCAGGGGGUUGGGAUCACAGAUCUCUUAACUUCUUCAAACCAACAAAGGGGGCGGAUCUAGCUACAGAGACACAAUAAAAAGCAACAUGGUAAAGAUCCCAAA
Molecule: long non-coding RNA, 324 nt
Filed under: Rattus norvegicus (Norway rat)
Lineage: Eukaryota; Metazoa; Chordata; Mammalia; Rodentia; Muridae
Description: long non-coding RNA NONRATT025114
Source: RNAcentral